UACAGAGGUCCCGAGCGUUGUUCGGAUUCACUGGGCGUAAAGGGUGCGUAGGUGGUGAGGUAAGUCGGAUGUGAAAGCUCCAAGCUCAACUUGGAAAUGGCAUUGGAAACUACCUUGCUAGAGGGUUUGAGGGGGGACUGGAAUACUUGGUGUAGCAGUGAAAUGCGUAGAUAUCAAGUGGAACACCCGUGGCGAAGGCGGUUCUCUGGGACGGUACUGACGCUGAGACGCGAAAGCGUGGGGAGCGAACAGG
RNAcentral lists this ribosomal RNA (253 nucleotides) under uncultured bacterium. RNAcentral's name for it is "partial 16S ribosomal RNA". It matches the Rfam family "Bacterial small subunit ribosomal RNA", at positions 524 to 776 of the family's 1533-position model. The record is from RNAcentral.